Molecule: ribosomal RNA, 460 nt
Filed under: uncultured bacterium
Lineage: Bacteria
Description: partial 16S ribosomal RNA
Rfam family: Bacterial small subunit ribosomal RNA
Source: RNAcentral
CCUACGGGUGUCAGCAGUGAGGAAUAUUGGUCAAUGGUCGUAAGGCUGAACCAGCCAAGCCGCGUGAAGGAUGAAGGCCCUAUGCAUUGUAAACUUCUUUUAUGAAGGGAAAAACUUCGUCUCGUGUGCUUUUCUGUAGUUACUGCAUGAAUAAGCACCGGCUAAAUCCGUGCCAGCAGCCGCGGUAAUACGGAGGGUGCGGGCGUUAUCCGGAUUUGUUGGGUUUAACGGGUGCGGAGGCCGGCGUUUAAGUGAGCAGUGAAAUGCCGGGGCUCAACCAUGGCGGGGCGGUGGAAACUGGCGGGCUUGAGUGCGCGGAAGGUAGGCGGAAUUCGUGGUGUAGCGGUGAAAUGCUUAGAUAUCACGAAGAACUCCGAUUGCGAAGGCAGCAUACGGGAGAGGAACUGACGCUGAAGCUCGAAGGCGUGGGUAUCGAACAGGAUUAGAUACCCGUGUAGUC